UUUUUUAUAGUUUAAAAAAAACAUUAUAUUUUCAAUGUAAAAUUAGAUUAAAUCUUAAAAAUA
RNAcentral lists this transfer RNA (63 nucleotides) under Platypodinae sp. BMNH 1274714. RNAcentral describes it as "tRNA-Glu". The record is from RNAcentral. Lineage: Eukaryota; Metazoa; Arthropoda; Insecta; Coleoptera; Curculionidae.